GACGAACGCUGGCGGCGUGCUUAACACAUGCAAGUCGAACGGCAAGGCCCUGCUUUUGUGGGGUGCUCGAGUGGCGAACGGGUGCGUAACACGUGAGUAACCUGCCCUUGACUUUGGGAUAACUUAAGGAAACUGGGGCUAAUACCGGAUCGGAGCUCCUGCUGCAUGGUGGGGGUUGGAAAGUUUCGGCGGUUGGGGAUGGACUCGCGGAUUAUCAGCUUGUUGGUGGGGUAGUGGCUUACCAAGGCUGUGACGGGUAGCCGGCCUGAGAGGGUGACCGGCCACAUUGGGACUGAGGGACGGCCCAGACUCCUACGGGAGGCAGCAGUGGGGAAUAUUGCACAAUGGGCGGAAGCCGGAUGCAGCAACGCCGCGUGCGGGAUGACGGCCUUCGGGUUGUAAACCGCUUUCGCCUGUGACGAAGCGUGAGUGACGGUAAUGGGUAAAGAAGCACCGGCUAACUACGUG
Molecule: ribosomal RNA, 468 nt
Filed under: uncultured bacterium
Lineage: Bacteria
Description: partial 16S ribosomal RNA
Rfam family: Bacterial small subunit ribosomal RNA
Source: RNAcentral